CUACGGGAUGCUGCAGUGGGGAAUAUUGCACAAUGGAGGAAACUCUGAUGCAGCAACGCCGCGUGGAGGAUGACACUUUUCGGAGCGUAAACUCCUUUUAUAUAGGAAGAAGAUGACGGUACUAUAUGAAUAAGCGCCGGCUAACUCCGUGCUAGCAGCCGCGGUAAUACGGAGGGCGCAAGCGUUACUCGGAAUCACUGGGCGUAAAGAGCGUGUAGGCGGAUUAAAAAGUCAGAAGUGAAAUCCUAUAGCUUAACUAUAGAACUGCUUCUGAAACUCUUAAUCUAGAAUAUGGGAGAGGUAGAUGGAAUUUCUGGUGUAGGGGUAAAAUCCGUAGAGAUCAGAAGGAAUACCGAUUGCGAAGGCGAUCUACUAGAACAUUAUUGACGCUGAGACGCGAAAGCGUGGGGAGCAAACAGGAUUAGAUACCCGGGUAGUC
Molecule: ribosomal RNA, 439 nt
Filed under: uncultured bacterium
Lineage: Bacteria
Description: partial 16S ribosomal RNA
Rfam family: Bacterial small subunit ribosomal RNA
Source: RNAcentral